GAUGAACGCUGGCGGCGUGCCUAAUACAUGCAAGUCGAGCGAACAGACGAGGAGCUUGCUCCUCUGACGUUAGCGGCGGACGGGUGAGUAACACGUGGAUAACCUACCUAUAAGACUGGGAUAACUUCGGGAAACCGGAGCUAAUACCGGAUAACAUGUUGAACCGCAUGGUUCAACAGUGAAAGACGGUUUUGCUGUCACUUAUAGAUGGAUCCGCGUCGCAUUAGCUAGUUGGUAAGGUAACGGCUUACCAAGGCAACGAUGCGUAGCUGACCUGAGAGGGUGAUCGGCCACACUGGAACUGAGACACGGUCCAGACUCCUACGGGAGGCAGCAGUAGGGAAUCUUCCGCAAUGGGCGAAAGCCUGACGGAGCAACGCCGCGUGAGUGAAGAAGGUCUUCGGAUCGUAAAACUCUGUUAUUAGGGAAGAACAAAUGUGUAAGUAACUAUGCACGUCUUGACGGUACCUAAUCAGAAAGCCACGGCUAACUACGUG
RNAcentral lists this ribosomal RNA (497 nucleotides) under uncultured bacterium. RNAcentral's name for it is "partial 16S ribosomal RNA". It matches the Rfam family "Bacterial small subunit ribosomal RNA", at positions 28 to 507 of the family's 1533-position model. The record is from RNAcentral.